This 497-nucleotide ribosomal RNA is filed under the name uncultured bacterium. Its description in RNAcentral is "partial 16S ribosomal RNA". It matches the Rfam family "Bacterial small subunit ribosomal RNA", at positions 28 to 507 of the family's 1533-position model. The record is from RNAcentral.
GAUGAACGCUGGCGGCGUGCCUAAUACAUGCAAGUCGAGCGAACAGACGAGGAGCUUACUCCUCUGACGUUAGCGGCGGACGGGUGAGUAACACGUGGAUAACCUACCUAUAAGACUGGGAUAACUUCGGGAAACCGGAGCUAAUACCGGAUAACAUGUUGAACCGCAUGGUUCAACAGUGAAAGACGGUCUUGCUGUUACUUAUAGAUGGAUCCGCGUCGCAUUAGCUAGUUGGUAAGGUAACGGCUUACCAAGGCAACGAUGCGUAGCCGACCUGAGAGGGUGAUCGGCCACACUGGAACUGAGACACGGUCCAGACUCCUACGGGAGGCAGCAGUAGGGAAUCUUCCGCAAUGGGCGAAAGCCUGACGGAGCAACGCCGCGUGAGUGAAGAAGGCCUUCGGAUCGUAAAACUCUGUUAUUAGGGAAGAACAAAUGUGUAAGUAACUAUGCACGUCUUGACGGUACCUAAUCAGAAAGCCACGGCUAACUACGUG